UGGAUCACCUCCUAACAGGGAGACAACAAAAUGUUUUAUAUUAUUAUUUUGUCACCUUAGGUCGAUCGGUAUCUCACAUUCUUAAUUUAUUAAGGAUUUCAUAUCCUAAGUUUUUCUAGGUCACACCCAUUAUUUUUCCUGGGCCAUUAGCUCAGGUGGUUAGAGCGCACCCCUGAUAAGGGUGAGGUCCCUGGUUCAAGUCCAGGAUGGCCCAUAUCUCUAUGUUGGGGGUAUAGCUCAGUUGGUAGAGCGCCUGCUUUGCAAGCAGGAUGUCAGCGGUUCGAGUCCGCUUACCUCCACUGAUUACCACCUCUUCCAUAAUCUGUAGAAAGGAAAUGCUUUGAGUUGUGAUCAAAUUCUGAACGAAUCUAGCUUCCUAAUGAAAUCAUUAAGAUGCUGGACUCAUUGAAUUAAUUUCAUUGUUUUCAGAGAACCUUGACAACUGCAUAGAUUAUUUUUAAAGACAAUAAGCAUCUUUAAUGAUGCAGAUUUAUUAUUUGUGCGAAUGCAUUAAUAACAAUUCUAUUAAGCUGAUGCUUCAAUUUUGAAGUUAUUGGUCAAGCUACAAAGAGCUCACGGAGGAUACCUAGGCACACAGAGGCGAUGAAGG
This 610-nucleotide transfer RNA is filed under the name uncultured Prochlorococcus sp. RNAcentral describes it as "partial contains 16S ribosomal RNA, 16S-23S ribosomal RNA intergenic spacer, and 23S ribosomal RNA". The stretch from base 227 to 299 matches the Rfam family "tRNA". Lineage: Bacteria; Bacillati; Cyanobacteriota; Cyanophyceae; Synechococcales; Prochlorococcaceae. The record is from RNAcentral.